This is a long non-coding RNA of Heterocephalus glaber (naked mole-rat), 1602 nucleotides long. The record is from Ensembl. Lineage: Eukaryota; Metazoa; Chordata; Mammalia; Rodentia; Bathyergidae.
UCCCCAUCUGCCACCCACCUCUCGCCCCCACCUCUAGCCCCCACCAGAGUGGCCCACAGUAUAUCCCAAUAGGCUUACAACUCCACCAGGGUGGGACUUCUGCUAGCCAAGGAGUUCUAAGGGUGCUUGCCUCUCCCAGUUCUGCUUCCCAACCGUCCCAUGCACAAAGUCUCCAAAUAGCCCUGUGAGGGAGGGUUGGUAGAAAGAAAUAGAUUUAUUCUCAUGUACAAAGCGGUCAGCCCACAGGACCACAUACAAUAGGUGCACAGAGUCCUAGAAAAACUCAUCUCUCUAAAGGCAACUCAGAGUAGGUAAGGCAGGCGGCCCCUCCCUGCCCACAACACACACAACACAGAAGGAGAAGCCGGUGGAUCUGGCCUUGAAGAGGAGAGAAGCCCUGCUAGGGCCAGGCCAGGUCCCUCUCUGGCUGCAGGAAUGGGAGAGGAGCUCAGGCCACAGGGUACACUCAGGGGACACUGAAGGACUCGGAUUGGGCUCUCUGUGCUUUGGGGUGGCAGAGACAGCUUGCCCAGGGUCACACAGCCAGGAGGAAACAUUGCCAACACACCUAGGUCUGUCCCCUAGCAUGGGGAUCCUUCCUGCCUGCCAUUCCCAUCUGCCUUCUGCCUGAGCCCCCUCUCUCCCGAGCACUGAGCUGCCCCUCCGGGGCCAUCGCAUGCCCCAAUCCCAGCCCAGAAGUAUAGGGGUGGUCUUCAGGGGCACCUUUGCCCCAUAGCUAUUGUAGUCCUCCAGCAGAACUAGUGACUGUUUCCCCACCCUCUGCUCAUGCACAUGUCCCACCUUCCCCUUCUGUGAGGAUCCUGGACACCCCAGGGGACAGGGCACCCCAGGGAAAGGGCACAGAUCUGGUAUGGCAGGAAGGGAACAAAAAAAGAACCCUUCUGACUGCUCAGAGAAAGCGUGGCUUGAGGAGGACUUGCCAGGAUGUGGUCAGAGGUGCAGAGCAGGGCCCACUGCCACCCCUGGACUCUUGGAGGACAAACAACAAAGUCUUGGCAAGCUGGAAGUCUUGCUUCUAUUCCCUAGAUAGGAAAGCUGAGGCCCAGGAAGGUCAGGAUGUGCCCAGGGUCACAUGGGACAUCCUGGGCGUAGAGCCCACGGCUGUGGUUCCCAGUGAGUUGGGCCAGACUGGUGGAGGGUUGUGGGAAGAGAAGGGCAGGGAGGGUUCCUGGAGGGGGUCACUCAGCAUCAAGACUGCAGCAGCCAUUGAUGGGGCCCCUGGUGCCACCCAGCUCAGGCACCUCGUACUCCCUCAUCCAAGAAGUCCAGUGAGUUGUUGCUCGGGAGGCCGCGGAUGGUGAAUUUGUGGGACACCUUGGUCCAGUGCUCACGGUUGGAGGCCACACGCUCAUACAGUUCUGCUGCCUUGGGAAACAGGUCUUGCAGCAGCCUGGGGGGUGCACAGGCAAGGUGAGAGGUCAGAAAUCGGAGUGUGGACAGCAAGAAAGAGGAGGGCUGCACCACAGGUAGAACUUCCACAAGAGUUGGAGCUAUGGGACUGGCACAGGAAAGCAUGGUGGUUCUCUCUACUGGGGGCCACCAAGGAUGAAGUGAAGAACCCAGCCAGGCACAAAGCAGGAG